Alexandromys fortis (reed vole) is the source of this 840-nucleotide long non-coding RNA. RefSeq lists it as uncharacterized. Lineage: Eukaryota; Metazoa; Chordata; Mammalia; Rodentia; Cricetidae. The record is from RefSeq and is a predicted model, not a curated record. The transcript has 4 exons.
AGGGUUUUGUUAGAUUAAUGAUACUUUCCUAAAUGAGCCAUCAGAGAUGGUCCCUGAAAUGUUGGUUUAUAAAAUAGAAUAAUGUUUAUUUUCAUUUAUCAUUAGAUUACAGCCAACCAGGCUGGCCCACUUAGAAAACAGUAGUAGAGUCUCCAAAAUCUUCUGUUUUCAAAUACCACGGCAUCCAGUUGAUGUGUUUCAGAGGAUUUUAUCAUCACAGUAGCGGUAUUAGUAAAGCAUUGGUGCCCUGGAAAGGCUACUUCUCAUAUUCAAUUAUUUCCUAGUAGCUAUCUGCAGACACUCAGAGCAAGGAUGAAGUCCAGGCUGGGGCCAGUCUCCUAGUCUCCUUAUCUGCCCCUUUGCUGCCGUCAUCCCAGAUACAGUGAAACACCAGCACUCUGCAGAAGUGAGCUUUGGCAGGAGCUGGGGAGGAAAGGACUUCUCUUGUGCACAUCCUGAACAAGCUUUGGAAUCUGAUGCAAACAGGAAUCCAGAGUGUUUACUUCUCUGUGUUUCCAGGAGCCUCGAAUUUGGCACCAGAGUUAAAAUAGUCUCGUGAGGCUGAUGAUGGCUGUGCUGUGAUUGGAUGUCGGUGUCCUCCACAUCCCUCCUGCCCUGCCCUGUUCAUACAGAAACCCCCAUCACCAAGGGAAACUACUCCAGCAUAAAAUGAUCCUGUUAAAAGUGAGCUGUUUCUGAAGAGUGUACUGUUGCGUGGGGAGUCUAUGAUCCUGUUUUCCAUUUCUACUGCAUCUCUCUGUGGCUCAAAACAAGGCAGGUGUGUCCACAGAGAGUGGGAAUUCCAAAAGUACGGACACUAGACAAGACUCGCCCUAAAGC